CCUACGGGAGGCUGCAGUGGGGAAUAUUGCACAAUGGGCGCAAGCCUGAUGCAGCCAUGCCGCGUGUGUGAAGAAGGCCUUCGGGUUGUAAAGCACUUUCAGCGGGGAGGAAGGCGGUGAGGUUAAUAACCUCAUCGAUUGACGUUACCCGCAGAAGAAGCACCGGCUAACUCCGUGCCAGCAGCCGCGGUAAUACGGAGGGUGCAAGCGUUAAUCGGAAUUACUGGGCGUAAAGCGCACGCAGGCGGUCUGUCAAGUCGGAUGUGAAAUCCCCGGGCUCAACCUGGGAACUGCAUUCGAAACUGGCAGGCUAGAGGCUUGUAGAGGGGGGUGGAAUUCCAGGUGUAGCGGUGUAAUGCGUAGAGAUCUGGAGGAAUACCGGUGGCGAAGGCGGCCCCCUGGACAAAGACUGACGCUCAGGUGCGAAAGCGUGGGGAGCAAACAGGAUUAGAUACCCCGGUAGUC
RNAcentral lists this ribosomal RNA (465 nucleotides) under uncultured Klebsiella sp. RNAcentral describes it as "bacterial SSU rRNA". It matches the Rfam family "Bacterial small subunit ribosomal RNA", at positions 338 to 795 of the family's 1533-position model. The record is from RNAcentral. Lineage: Bacteria; Pseudomonadati; Pseudomonadota; Gammaproteobacteria; Enterobacterales; Enterobacteriaceae.